This 655-nucleotide ribosomal RNA is filed under the name uncultured bacterium. RNAcentral's name for it is "bacterial SSU rRNA". It matches the Rfam family "Bacterial small subunit ribosomal RNA", at positions 57 to 705 of the family's 1533-position model. The record is from RNAcentral.
GCAGUCGAACGGCAGCACGGGAGCUUGCUCCUGGUGGCGAGUGGCGAACGGGUGAGUAAUAUAUNCGGAACGUACCCUAGAGUGGGGGAUAACGCAGCGAAAGUUGCGCUAAUACCGCAUACGAUCUACGGAUGAAAGUGGGGGAUCGCAAGACCUCAUGCUCAUGGAGCGGCCGAUAUCUGAUUAGCUAGUUGGUGGGGUAAAGGCCUACCAAGGCAUCGAUCAGUAGCUGGUCUGAGAGGACGACCAGCCACACUGGAACUGAGACACGGUCCAGACUCCUACGGGAGGCAGCAGUGGGGAAUUUUGGACAAUGGGGGCAACCCUGAUCCAGCAAUGCCGCGUGAGUGAAGAAGGCCUUCGGGUUGUAAAGCUCUUUUGUCAGGGAAGAAACGGUGAGGGCUAAUAUCCUUUGCUAAUGACGGUACCUGAAGAAUAAGCACCGGCUAACUACGUGCCAGCAGCCGCGGUAAUACGUAGGGUGCAAGCGUUAAUCGGAAUUACUGGGCGUAAAGCGUGCGCAGGCGGUUAUGUAAGUCAGAUGUGAAAUCCCCGGGCUCAACCUGGGAAUGGCAUUUGAGACUGCAUGGCUAGAGUGUGUCAGAGGGGGGUAGAAUUCCACGUGUAGCAGUGAAAUGCGUAGAGAUGUGGAGGA